Molecule: ribosomal RNA, 344 nt
Filed under: uncultured bacterium
Lineage: Bacteria
Description: partial 16S ribosomal RNA
Rfam family: Bacterial small subunit ribosomal RNA
Source: RNAcentral
CCUACGGGAGGCAGCAGUGAGGAAUAUUGGUCAAUGGGCGGAAGCCUGAACCAGCCAAGUCGCGUGAGGGAAUAAGGCCCUACGGGUCGUAAACCUCGUUUGCCGGGGAGCAAGGGCGGGGACGUGUCCCGGCCCGGAGAGUACCCGGAGAAAAAGCAGCGGCUAACUCCGUGCCAGCAGCCGCGGUAAUAAGGAGGAUGCGAGCGUUAGCCGGAUUUAUUGGGUUGCACGGGGGAGUAGGCGGGCUUUUAAGUCAGCGGUAAAAAUUCGGGGCUCAACCCCGUCCGGCCGUUGAAACUGGGGGCCUUGAGUGGGCGAGACGCAGGCGGAAUGCGUGGUGUAGC